Molecule: transfer RNA, 66 nt
Filed under: Apochrysa matsumurae
Lineage: Eukaryota; Metazoa; Arthropoda; Insecta; Neuroptera; Chrysopidae
Description: tRNA-Trp
Source: RNAcentral
AAGGCUUUAAGUUAAAUAAACUAAUAGCCUUCAAAGCUGUAAAUAAAAAUAAUUUUUUAAGCCUUA